GACGAACGCUGGCGGCGUGCUUAACACAUGCAAGUCGAACGGAAAGGCCCUGCUUUUGUGGGGUGCUCGAGUGGCGAACGGGUGAGUAACACGUGAGUAACCUGCCCUUGACUUUGGGAUAACUUCAGGAAACUGGGGCUAAUACCGGGUAGGAGCUCCUGCUGCAUGGUGGGGGUUGGAAAGUUUCGGCGGUUGGGGAUGGACUCGCGGCUUAUCAGCUUGUUGGUGGGGUAGUGGCUUACCAAGGCUUUGACGGGUAGCCGGCCUGAGAGGGUGACCGGCCACAUUGGGACUGAGAUACGGCCCAGACUCCUACGGGAGGCAGCAGUGGGGAAUAUUGCACAAUGGGCGGAAGCCUGAUGCAGCAACGCCGCGUGCGGGAUGACGGCCUUCGGGCUGUAAACCGCUUUCGCCUGUGACGAAGCGUGAGUGACGGUAAUGGGUAAAGAAGCACCGGCUAACUACGUG
Molecule: ribosomal RNA, 468 nt
Filed under: uncultured bacterium
Lineage: Bacteria
Description: partial 16S ribosomal RNA
Rfam family: Bacterial small subunit ribosomal RNA
Source: RNAcentral